Non-coding RNA from Amborella trichopoda, 2818 nucleotides. Lineage: Eukaryota; Viridiplantae; Streptophyta; Magnoliopsida; Amborellales; Amborellaceae. The record is from RefSeq and is a predicted model, not a curated record.
UGCAUUUCUUUGAUUAAAUCGCCCCAAAUGAAAAGUUUGGAAUCCAGAACGGGGAUAUUUCAAUAAUGUUUUACAACUAGAAACAUUGUAGCAAUUUUCACAUCCUGGAGAAUGAUGGCACUCCGGUAGAAUGUGGGGGUAAUUUUUGGUAGUUUGGUCAUCAUCAGUGUAAUGUUACAGAGCCAGUUCUUGUUCUCUCUCUCUUCUCUAGUUUCAUGGCUUAGUGUCAAAAACUCUCUCUCUGAAUUACACCACUAGAGAGAUUCUGUCUAAGAAAUUAGGGUUUUUUCUCCUAAUGAUAACUCUCUGCAAAAGAAUUAUAGUCUCGGGUCCUAAAUCCUAAUUUGAAAGUCUUGAGUGAAUGGGAACACAACUAGAAGCAAAACCACCCGGUUUUUCAGGAGUUAUGCAGUACUUUCUCUGCUAAAUUCAUGGGUUGUGGGUUUCCUAUUUGGUUGCUUUGUUCUGCAAAAAAAAAAGAAGUGGGUUUUGGAUUUUAAUCUCAAUAUUGUAAAAUGUAAAGAUUGGGAAGACCACCAUAAGAAAACUACCUGGUUUUUUUGAAACUUGUUGAUUGCUUCCCCCGCAUUAAAUAAGAUUUUUUGGGUUUUCUUCUGAGUAUUCUCUCUCUUUAGGGAACUGGUAUUUUGGAUUUUUGAUGAAAAAACUUUGGUAAAAUGGGAAAACCAUCUGAAUCAAACUCAUCAGGUUUUGUAGAAACUGUGGAUGAAAUCAUGAGAAUUUACAGAUCACUACCAAGAAGGCCAAGCCUUGAUGAAGUUGAGGCAGCCAUGGGUAUCAUAAGGACUGUCGAAAAUGAAGAAAGUCUCAAAAUUGAGGCCAUUUCUAACCAGAAGAAACCCCCAGAUGUGCCAGAAGAACUGUUCAUUUUGUUACAAGAGUUUCAGAAUAACUCAGUGUUGUUGCAGAGCGAAGAACAAAAGAAAGAAGCUGUGUUUGUUCUUAGUUUGGAGAAGAAAUUUGAAGUCUUUGAUGGGCUUUUACAGAGGGUAAACAAAUUGGUUAAUGGUGAUGAGUCUAUUGCUUCUGUUUUUCGCUCUGAGGAAGUUUUUCAUGGGGUCACUGAUUCAGUGGCUUCCUCUCUUGAGAUUAGUAAAAUUGGAAAGAAAAUUUUCAGUUUGGGUGAGAGUAAGAGUUCAGAAUCAGAAGCUCCUAAAGGAGUAGUGAAGGAUUCCUCUCUCAAAUCUACUGUUUCGUCAGAUUUGGAAAAACUUGGACUGAUGAAGGUGGCGAGUUUGAUUGAAAUAUGUGCAAAGGAUGGUGCUAAAGACAUCAACCUUCAAGGGAAGUUGAUGGACCAGAUUGAAUGGCUUCCUCUUUCAAUAGGGAAGUUAUCUGAAACUCUCUCUCUAAAUUUAGCGGAGAAUCGAAUCAUGGCCCUUCCUACGACAAUUAGUGGCCUCAAGUCCCUAAUGAAACUUGAUCUUCAUUCGAACCAGCUUAUAAACCUUCCUGCGUGUUUUGGAGAGCUGUUCAACUUAACCGAUCUGGAUUUACAUUCAAACCAAUUAAAAUCUUUGCCACCCACAUUUGGAAACUUGACAAAUCUGGUUAAUCUAGACUUGAGUUCUAACAAGUUCUCGUACCUUCCUGAAUCAAUGGGAAAGCUCACGAGCCUAAAAACUUUGGACAUAGAAACCAAUGAGCUCGAAGAAUUUCCAUACACUAUUGGCCAUUGUACAUCCCUGGUUCAGUUGAGAGCCAAUUUCAAUCAGCUCAAAGCCUUGCCAGAAGCCAUUGGAAAGCUCGAGAAUUUGGAAGUCCUAACUUUACAUUACAACAGAAUUAAAGGGCUACCGACUACUGUGGCUUCUCUCUCAAGCCUGAAGGAGCUGGAUGUGAGCUUCAAUGAGAUAGAAUCAGUCCCUGAAAGUCUGUGUUUUGCGACUAGUCUUGUGAAGCUGAACCUAGGGAAAAAUUUCGCAGAUUUGAGAGCCUUACCCAAAUCAAUAGGGAACCUUGAGAUGCUUGAAGAGUUGGAUAUAAGCGAUAAUCAGAUAAGGGUUCUGCCCGAUUCUUUCAGAUUGCUUUCUAAGCUGAGAGUUCUUUACACUGAUGAAACUCCUCUCGAAGUGCCACCAAUACAAGUUGCCAAACUAGGAGCUCAGGCAGUUGUUCGGUACAUGGCUGAGCUCCAUGAGAAGAAAGAUAUGAAAUUGAAAACACCUAAAAGGACUGACUUUUGGGUUUGGUUUUGCAUACUUUUCUGCUCUCCGAGAAGAAAUAAUGGCGACAAGGACAGUGGCAAGGUUUAGAUGUUGCAAUUGGGAUGCAAAUUUAGGGUUGUUCAUGAAUUAGGGGAGAAAGGUGGUUCAUGAAUUAGGGGAGAAAGGUGGCACUUCUCUGAAGCAAAUGAUACUUUGGAAGCUUUUUUGCAGUAAGAGUUCAUUCUAUCUGGUAUGGCACUAUGAAUAUCCAUGUGAAACGAACCCCUUGCUUUAUGGAGUUCCCCUGUCUUCAAGGAACCUUGCCUUCAAUUCUGUGGACCAAAAUGAGGCAACUUGGAUCGAGGAAGGAACUUUGAAUUACUCAUUGAAAUAUUUUUACAAGAUGAAAAGGACAUCAAUUCCACAUAGGGGGUACUAUAUGAAAUUGGUCAUCCCUAGCUCAACUCUGCUAAUCUUAAGUGAUGAGAGCAAAGUUAUAAAACUAAAUGUAUAGAGGAAACAUUCUUCACAUUUAAUCAAUCCAAUGUUUUUUUGUUGGUUUGGAAAAGUAUAAAUUAAGAUUGUUUUCCUUUGGUUCAAAGAGAUCAUAGUUUUCCAUAACUGUCAUAUGUGAGUAGGGCACUUGGGGU